CAAAGAUCUAUAUCAAAGAAUAAUGGCACUAGGAGAGGGGGAGGAAAAGACAAACCAUGAUGAUACAGAAUCUGGAAGGAGGGAGUACUGGGAUGGUAUACAACUUAAAGACAAUGGAGGACUAGAUCCCUUCCAUACUGCUGCUUCAUUCUUCUGCUUCACAUCAUUGGCCAAAACAUAGGUAUGUGACCACACUGGACCCAACAGAAGGUUGGGCAAUGCAAGACACCAGAAGAAAAUGGAUUGCAACCUCUGUCAAACCAAGUAUUAUACAGAUAUUAUCAUCUUUACUCCU
Long non-coding RNA from Tupaia belangeri chinensis (Chinese tree shrew), 295 nucleotides. RefSeq lists it as uncharacterized. The record is from RefSeq and is a predicted model, not a curated record. NCBI's taxonomy places the organism in Eukaryota, Metazoa, Chordata, Mammalia, Scandentia, Tupaiidae. The transcript is spliced from 3 exons.